AUUGAACGCUGGCGACAUGCCUUACACAUGCAAGUCGAACGGCAGCACGGGUGCUUGCACCUGGUGGCGAGUGGCGAACGGGUGAGUAAUACAUCGGAACAUGUCCUGUAGUGGGGGAUAGCCCGGCGAAAGCCGGAUUAAUACCGCAUACGAUCUACGGAUGAAAGCGGGGGACCUUCGGGCCUCGCGCUAUAGGGUUGGCCGAUGGCUGAUUAGCUAGUUGGUGGGGUAAAGGCCUACCAAGGCGACGAUCAGUAGCUGGUCUGAGAGGACGACCAGCCACACUGGGACUGAGACACGGCCCAGACUCCUACGGGAGGCAGCAGUGGGGAAUUUUGGACAAUGGGCGAAAGCCUGAUCCAGCAAUGCCGCGUGUGUGAAGAAGGCCUUCGGGUUGUAAAGCACUUUUGUCCGGAAAGAAAUCCUUGGCCCUCAUACGGUCGGGGGAUGACGGUACCGGAAGAAUAAGCACCGGCUAACUACGUG
Molecule: ribosomal RNA, 486 nt
Filed under: uncultured bacterium
Lineage: Bacteria
Description: partial 16S ribosomal RNA
Rfam family: Bacterial small subunit ribosomal RNA
Source: RNAcentral